This 490-nucleotide ribosomal RNA is filed under the name uncultured bacterium. RNAcentral describes it as "partial 16S ribosomal RNA". It matches the Rfam family "Bacterial small subunit ribosomal RNA", at positions 30 to 507 of the family's 1533-position model. The record is from RNAcentral.
AUUGAACGCUGGCGGCAGGCCUAACACAUGCAAGUCGAACGGUAACAGGAAGAAGCUUGCUUCUUUGCUGACGAGUGGCGGACGGGUGAGUAAUGUCUGGGAAACUGCCUGAUGGAGGGGGAUAACUACUGGAAACGGUAGCUAAUACCGCAUAACGUCGCAAAACCAAAGAGGGGGACCUUCGGGCCUCUUGCCAUCGGAUGUGCCCAGAUGGGAUUAGCUAGUAGGUGGGGUAACGGCUCACCUAGGCGACGAUCCCUAGCUGGUCUGAGAGGAUGACCAGCCACACUGGAACUGAGACACGGUCCAGACUCCUACGGGAGGCAGCAGUGGGGAAUAUUGCACAAUGGGCGCAAGCCUGAUGCAGCCAUGCCGCGUGUAUGAAGAAGGCCUUCGGGUCGUAAAGUACUUUCAGCGGGGAGGAAGGGAGUAAAGUUAAUACCUUUGCUCAUUGACGUUACCCGCAGAAGAAGCACCGGCUAACUCCGUG